AACGCGAAGAACCUUACCCGGGUUUGAAAUGUAGAGGACGAUAACAGAGAUGUUAUUUCCCGAAAGGGUCUUUACACAGGUGCUGCAUGGCUGUCGUCAGCUCGUGCCGUGAGGUGUUGGGUUAAGUCCCGCAACGAGCGCAACCCUUAUCGUUAGUUGCCAACAUUUAAGAUGGGAACUCUAACGAGACUGCCUAGGUUAACUAGGAGGAAGGUGAGGAUGACGUCAAGUCCGCAUGGCCUUUAUAUCCGGGGCUACACACGUGCUACAAUGGUCGGUACAGAGGGCAGCGAGACCGCAAGGUGGAGCAAAUCCCACAAAGCCGAUCUCAGUUCGGAUUGUAGUCUGCAACUCGACUACAUGAAGCUGGAAUUGCUAGUAAUGGCGAGUCAGCAAUAUCGCCGUGAAUACGUUCCCGGGCCUUGUACACACCGCAUAC
Molecule: ribosomal RNA, 439 nt
Filed under: uncultured bacterium
Lineage: Bacteria
Description: bacterial SSU rRNA
Rfam family: Bacterial small subunit ribosomal RNA
Source: RNAcentral